AGCCAGUGUGGUGUAGUGGUUAGAGUGUCGGACUAGGACCCGGGAGACCAGGGUUCAAGUCCCCGCUUGGCUG
This is a non-coding RNA of Podarcis lilfordi (Lilford's wall lizard), 73 nucleotides long. The record is from the annotation of a GenBank genome assembly. Lineage: Eukaryota; Metazoa; Chordata; Lepidosauria; Squamata; Lacertidae.